UACAGAGGGUGCGAGCGUUAAUCGGAAUUACUGGGCGUAAAGCGUGCGUAGACGGCUAUCUAAGUCGGGUGUGAAAUCCCCGGGCUCAACCUGGGAAUUGCAUUCGAUACUGGAUAGCUAGAGUUCGGCAGAGGGAAGCGGAAUUUCGGGUGUAGCGGUGAAAUGCGUAGAUAUCCGAAGGAACAUCAGUGGCGAAAGCGGCUUCCUGGACCAGAACUGACGAUCAGGCACGAAAGCGUGGGGAGCAAACAGG
RNAcentral lists this ribosomal RNA (253 nucleotides) under uncultured bacterium. RNAcentral describes it as "partial 16S ribosomal RNA". It matches the Rfam family "Bacterial small subunit ribosomal RNA", at positions 524 to 776 of the family's 1533-position model. The record is from RNAcentral.